CUAUAGUAUAAGGGCGUAGGCUAAUUCAUUGUCUAGGUAGCUUUUCUUGAAAGACUAAGAUUUUUGUAAAUACAAUCAGUCCAUCGAUAGGCCCUUCUUGUCUUAAUGAUAACUCCGUCAAAGGGCUUUCUCUGAAUGUCCGCAAGCAUCGUACUUCUCCUGCCCAAUAGAACACCCCCUUGCCUUUUCUCGCCUUAACUCCUUACCGUGCCUGAAUCUCCUCUCAUGAGCCUUGCCCUUCAAAAAGUCUAUUUAUGAGGUUCGGGUGUUGAUAUCGGUAACUCUUUCUCAUAUUCUAAUACAGGAAAUCGACCCGACCUUAAAUCAAUUGAAUUGAGUGCUUUUCUUAAUUAUCACUACUCCCAUGAACGGAACACUAACAUAUUCUUUCAAGUGUCAAGCGAGGAAAGUAAUCUUUCUGACUUCCCAACGAUCUCCCGUUGUAAGCCAGACGCGGGACCUAAAUCCACUUCAACGCUAGGGAGCUCUAACGUGCCAUUUAGUAGCACUCAUGGGAUCUGGUCAACAAAGGUGUAACUAUGAAGUCAGUCGGGGAGAGGAGCGAAAAGCGAUAACUAAAAAAUCUCCCCAAGUAGGAUUCGAACCUACGACCAAUCGGUUAACAGCCGACCGCUCUACCACUGAGCUACUGAGGAACAAUGGUAUACCCUAUUCAGGUAAGACUUGAUCAUCCGAGACUGUUCCAAAACUCUCUGCCAUUUUAGAGGCACUACUCGUAGUAGAACUGAGAAUAGGGUGGAACGAUUAUUCAUAGUAAUGAGAAUCUAUACCGGCUGUACCGAUUAUAUGUCGGAUAGGCGCCCGCCCCCAAGCCAGUGUCCAUCUUCAUGAAAUGACAUUGGUAGACGGGUUGGGACCAGCCUUGUAUCCCGGUGAACAAUGUUCCACUGAUUAGGCGGGGACAGGAUUUGAACCUGCAAUCUUCAGGUCAUGAGCCUGAUGAGUUGACCAAUUCCUCUACCCCGCU
This 988-nucleotide transfer RNA is filed under the name Candidatus Paraburkholderia calva. RNAcentral describes it as "tRNA-OTHER". The record is from RNAcentral. Lineage: Bacteria; Pseudomonadati; Pseudomonadota; Betaproteobacteria; Burkholderiales; Burkholderiaceae.